RNAcentral lists this long non-coding RNA (699 nucleotides) under Danio rerio (zebrafish). Its description in RNAcentral is "lncRNA si:ch211-145g9.7 (ENSDARG00000096092.4)". Lineage: Eukaryota; Metazoa; Chordata; Actinopteri; Cypriniformes; Danionidae. The record is from RNAcentral.
AUUUGCCCUGCUGGGUGACACACACAUAAACAGACACGUCUUUUACCCUGUCAAUACGAGUUAAUGUGUUCAGAACACUAGAGAAGAGAGCAGUGUGGCCAAUGGCUCCACCUCGAGGCGUUUUUCAGUAACUGCAAAAAAGAGUAGGCAAUGCCGUCCAAAAUGAGUUCAAGGAAACUCGAUUCCCAGAGGCCAAUUUUGGAUGUCAGCAGGCAUCGCAUGGACGAAGAUAACAGCCUUCAAGCAGAUGUCAGAGAAUGAAGUGAGAGGAUCCAGUCAGCCCCAGUCCUUCCUGGCUCAACAGAGGCAGUCUGCUACACUCAGAAGGGUCCAAACUAAUAUAAAACGAUGAAUUUGCUCAUAAUCUCGAGUCUGUACAUAGCGCCUUGGUGAGACACGAGCUCCACCUGCUGGUUUCUGAAUGUAUUUGCAUGCACAUAUUAGUUUUAUCCUGUAGUAUUUUUAUUAAAAGCCGUCGAUGCAAAAAUAUUUGUUUAUUUGGGUUUUGUGUUCUUUUUAUAUACAGUUUUUGUAAUUUAUUAAAUUUUAUUUAUUGUAUUUGUAAUUAAUUAUUUGAUUUAUUAAAUAUAGCCUAAACAAAAACAAGACCUCGGGAUCACUUGUUUACUCGUAUCUUCUUAUUUUACAUACCCCAAAUUCAGUAAAUGUGAGUAAAUAAAACUGAAGUUUUGCCAAACA